Molecule: non-coding RNA, 164 nt
Organism: Burkholderia sp. ST111
Lineage: Bacteria; Pseudomonadati; Pseudomonadota; Betaproteobacteria; Burkholderiales; Burkholderiaceae
Source: Rfam
GCCUUCGCGAGGCGGAGUCUGCAGGAAGUGUGUUGCAAAGACUCGACUUGAUGAACAGAAACCAGAUGAGAAUCCUACCCGGGCGGGCGAAUGAUCGCGAAGUCCCUAACUAUCAACGGCCAGGGUGAUAGAUCUCGCAGAUAUAUGGGAGGACGGUUGAGCCU